GAUGGAGAACGCAGCGAAAUGCGAUAAGUAGUGUGAAUUGCAGAAUUCAGUGAAUCAUCGAAUCUUUGAACGCACAUUGCGCCCCUUGGGAUUCCAUGGAGCAUGCCUGUUCGAGCGUCAUUUGUACCUUCAAGCUUUGCUUGGUGUUGGGUGUUUGUCUCGCCUUUGCGUGUAGACUCGCCUUAAAAUAAUUGGCAGCCGGCGUAUUGAUUUCGGAGCGCAGUACAUCUCGCGCUUUGCACUCAUAACGACAGCGUCCAAAAGUACAUUUUACACUCUUGACCUCGGAUCAGGUAGGGAUACCCGCUGAACUUAAGCAUAUCAAUAAGCGGAGGA
RNAcentral lists this unclassified non-coding RNA (336 nucleotides) under soil metagenome. RNAcentral describes it as "partial contains 5.8S ribosomal RNA, internal transcribed spacer 2, and large subunit ribosomal RNA". The stretch from base 1 to 120 matches the Rfam family "5.8S ribosomal RNA", at positions 35 to 154 of the family's 154-position model. The record is from RNAcentral.